Oncorhynchus mykiss (rainbow trout) is the source of this 163-nucleotide non-coding RNA. NCBI's taxonomy places the organism in Eukaryota, Metazoa, Chordata, Actinopteri, Salmoniformes, Salmonidae. The record is from RefSeq and is a predicted model, not a curated record.
UUGAGCUCCUGGAGAAGAAAGCUGUUAAAGCUGCAUUCGGCCCAGGCAACAAGGAUGAGAUGGAAUACUCCUACCCAAUCCUCAUCUCAUUCCUGCGCAAUCUUACUGAUGAGCAGUGGCAAGUGAUCUACAAAGGACUAAAAAACCCUAUGACGAAGGAACA